GCGGGUGUAGUUCAAUGGCAGAAUGUGGCCUUCCCAAGGCUAAGGCGGGAGUUCGAUUCUCCUCACCCGCUCCA
Molecule: transfer RNA, 74 nt
Filed under: Clostridiales bacterium
Lineage: Bacteria; Bacillati; Bacillota; Clostridia; Eubacteriales
Also listed under: 1 other name
Description: tRNA-Gly
Rfam family: tRNA
About the family: Transfer RNA (tRNA) molecules are approximately 80 nucleotides in length.
Source: RNAcentral